GCUUAUAUGGUAUAAUUUAAUGGUAGAAAAGUGAAGACGGUGGCUCCUAGAUCCUGAAAGAAAGAGGUGAUGCCUAUGGGCAAUUCAUCAAAAUCUGACGGAAAGGGGGAGCACUUUUGACUGCGUUUGAAGUUGUGCAAACCAUCUUUGGUUUUGGUAGCUUUACCAUUUCUUUGAUUGGUUUGUG
RNAcentral lists this small RNA (187 nucleotides) under Streptococcus urinalis 2285-97. RNAcentral describes it as "Listeria sRNA rli28". It matches the Rfam family "Listeria sRNA rli28". The record is from Rfam by way of RNAcentral. RNAcentral also lists the same sequence under 1 other name. Lineage: Bacteria; Bacillati; Bacillota; Bacilli; Lactobacillales; Streptococcaceae.